AUGUAUAUACCUAGGAGGCCGAAGAUGAAAGCCAAUUGGUGCUGGUGAAGGGCCAUGUUAGAUUGUAUUUGGAGAGACAUCAUCUCCAAACACAA
Neltuma alba is the source of this 95-nucleotide long non-coding RNA. RefSeq lists it as uncharacterized. The record is from RefSeq and is a predicted model, not a curated record. NCBI's taxonomy places the organism in Eukaryota, Viridiplantae, Streptophyta, Magnoliopsida, Fabales, Fabaceae. The transcript is spliced from 3 exons.